This is a long non-coding RNA of Mastomys coucha (southern multimammate mouse), 570 nucleotides long. RefSeq lists it as uncharacterized. The record is from RefSeq and is a predicted model, not a curated record. The transcript is spliced from 2 exons. Lineage: Eukaryota; Metazoa; Chordata; Mammalia; Rodentia; Muridae.
CAGCGGGCCGAGACCCGGAAGCAGUACCCUCGACAGGAAAUGACGUUCAGACAGCUCUGGGGAACUGCCGCGGGGCAGUCACUCAAGGGUGUCGGCCACGCCCCGUCUAAUUAGUCCCACCUCCUUUCACUGCCCCAGCUCCAGAGCUUCACUGCGGCUGCGCGAGUUACAGCCUGCCGCUCCGCUCAGCCCCUAGGUUCGAUGCUCUUGUGACAUAACCCUAAUAAUGACUGUUCAGUGAGAGUGCAGUCAAAGAGCACAUUGCUGCCACUACAGGAACAGAGCCCAUGAGGCAGCCAGAGAAGAGUAUGCUGGGUUCUAGAUGCCCUGGUUACAGGGCACAGACGCCAACAACUGACUUUCCUAUGGAAGCAAGAAAGGGCUUCGUGGAAGGUGCUGCUGCAGCUACAAAAAUGUCCAAGAGAGCCCAAAGCUCAGGCUUCACACUGAUUCCAUAUCUGGCUCAAUGUAGCUGUGAUCGGAGAUGGUCGGGGUUACUCUUGCAAUGUGGUGUACAGCCUUCUUAUUAUUGUGCCAUUCUUGAAAUAUAAAGUUCAUAUGGAUUCAUAA